AAAAUUUUUUUCACAUGAAAGAACAUAUAUAAUAUUUUUUAAUAAUAUUAAAAUUUAUUAAUUAAAUAAGGUACACUUAUUUAGAAUAUACCAAUUAAAAAUAUUGCUAAAGUGGCGAUUACCUGGUCAAGAAAAAAAAAAUCCAAUAAUCCAUCUCAAGUACCAUCCUAAGAAUCCAGCCAUCUCAAUUAUUUCUAGACGCCAGCUUUCAGGUUGCUCAGAACCAAACCACCACCGCGAACUUAACGACCCAAACCAUAAUCGGCAAGCGAACGCUCGCCAAUUUCCAAGCGCAUUAACAGCAACUACAGUAGCCAAGCCCAAACCCAGAGUCCGUGAAGCCCAGUAUGUACCAACAUACAUCCCCAGUCCCCAUUCCCUCCCCAUCGAAAUCUUGGCUAACAUGUCUCCAGAACUACCCUCAUUGUAUAAGCAUUACACUGUGCCUCUUCUUUAACAGCUUAGGCCCCAGUCUUGGGCACGGACCCACCAUUCACUUAGCGAACCACGCCUCUUCUGCUAUAUCUUACAUGUACUCGCUCCAAAAUCGGAACAGAGGAGGGGGAGGGCAGUUAUGGGUGGACAAAAAUCCAGAAAGAAGAUGAUAAAUCGAUUGCCGGAGCCGGAAAAAGCGGCUUCUGGAUGACAAUGAAGACGAGGAAGGCGAUGCGAUUUUGGUGAUUACUAACACUAUGAUGCCAUUGAAGAUAUGAUGCAAAGAAUCAAACAGUGAAAAUAAUAGAAACUCUUUUUGAUUUGCCAAAAGGGCCAAUGAAAUGAAAAUGGGGAUUUGGAGGCAACAUUCUAUGCGCUUGACGAAUUUCCUAAACGAAGGUGUGGGCCUAACGUGAGAUCAUUCUUAAGGCUGAUGCAUUACUCGUGUGCAAAAGGGGAGGUUAAGAAGGCAUUUCGGCUGCUUGACACAAUGGAUGGUGAGAAUUGGAUAUUAUCACUUCCAUUAUCUUGAUUUCAGGGAAGAGGACGCAAAGAAUUGACGAGGGAGUGGAGCCAAUGGAUGAAACUAGCUUGUUACUAUUAUUGGAAAGAAUAUGAAAUCAUCUCUAAAAUAUAUAUAUAAAUAUACACCCUUUUAGAUAUAGGAAUUCAAUUCAA
Long non-coding RNA from Hevea brasiliensis (rubber tree), 1113 nucleotides. RefSeq lists it as uncharacterized. The transcript is spliced from 2 exons. Lineage: Eukaryota; Viridiplantae; Streptophyta; Magnoliopsida; Malpighiales; Euphorbiaceae. The record is from RefSeq and is a predicted model, not a curated record.